This 434-nucleotide ribosomal RNA is filed under the name uncultured Clostridium sp. RNAcentral describes it as "partial 16S ribosomal RNA". It matches the Rfam family "Bacterial small subunit ribosomal RNA", at positions 341 to 792 of the family's 1533-position model. Lineage: Bacteria; Bacillati; Bacillota; Clostridia; Eubacteriales; Clostridiaceae. The record is from RNAcentral.
ACGGAAGGCAGCAGUGGGGAAUAUUGCACAAUGGGGGAAACCCUGAUGCAGCGACGCCGCGUGAGUGAAGAAGUAUUUCGGUAUGUAAAGCUCUAUCAGCAGGAAAGAAAAUGACGGUACCUGACUAAGAAGCCCCGGCUAACUACGUGCCAGCAGCCGCGGUAAUACGUAGGGGGCAAGCGUUAUCCGGAUUUACUGGGUGUAAAGAGAGCGUAGACGGCUUUGCAAGUCUGAAGUGAAAGCCCGGGGCUCAACCCCGGAACUGCUUUGGAAACUGUAGAGCUAGAGUGCAGGAGAGGUAAGUGGAAUUCCUAGUGUAGCGGUGAAAUGCGUAGAUAUUAGGAGGAACACCAGUGGCGAAGGCGGCUUACUGGACUGUAACUGACGUUGAGGCUCGAAGGCGUGGGGAGCAAACAGGAUUAGAUACCCUGGUA